CUCGUCACGCUAACAUUCUAUGAGUUGCGUAAAUAAAUUCCAAAAUUGGAAAAAUAGGGAGUACUCAAUUCAAUCGUCAAUUUAAGUAAUACUUGAGUCAAAAUUGAAACACAAGGUCUGAUAAGUGUCGUCAAUUGAAACAAAAUAUAGAAAACAAGAGAACACAAAAUAUAGAAUUUAACCCUUGUCCAAAAGUUGCCUUCAAUGACUACCAUAGAACUGGCUAACAUCUAAAUAGAACCCAAGUAAAUUCAGGCACCGACUUAGAUGAUCCCAAUCUUGUUUGCUACAUCCAAUGCAUCGUAAUCAGGUGUCAACCUAACAUAGGCCUUCUUGGUACCAUCGGGCCUGAAACAGAUUCAGUAAUCGAGUUUAGAAAUUGUCUGAAAUCACCAUGCUGAACUAUAAUAAUUAAAUUGCACAGAUAGCACAACUAUGCAAUAUCCCUGAUCAUUAUUUCUAGAUUCCAACCCUGAUAGCAUUGCAUUGAACUGUUGAUAUUAAUGCCUAAACACAUAUUCAACUAGAAAACAGAAAACCAUUGUUGGUAUUUAAUGCCUAAACACAUAUUCAACUAGAAAACAGAAAACCAAUGUUGGUAUUAAUGCCUAAACACAUUCAACUAGAAAACAAAAAACUGCCAAAACCCAAAAAUGGUUCGGUAAGUCUGCAAAAUAUACGACAGGACAACAGAUUAUCUCAAACAUCAGGUGCCACCCUAACAAAACAUGUGAAGGGUAGAGCAAUAUAAAUUGACUAUUAGACUACAACUGUUAUUAGCAUUUAUCAGAUUAUUAAUUUGCCUUGAAAAGUUACUGCAUAAAGGCUCACCUGAUCAAGGUGUUAACCUUCUUUGCCUGGAUGUCAUACAUUUUCUUCACUGCAUCCUUAAUCUUUUUCUUAUCAGCACGCAAGUCAACAAUGAAAACCAAAGUGUUGUUAUCCUCAAUUUUCUUCAUUGCGGACUCAGUGGUGAGUGGGAACUUCAAAAUCUGAUAGUGGUCAAGCUUGUUUCUUGGUGUGGCACUGAUGCGAGGAUAUUUGGGGUUCCUAUCCUUUGUUUGUGUCUUUGGGCGAUGGAAAGUUACAGUUGUUCUAAUCUUCUUUGCCUUCUUAAUAGCAGUGCCUGACUUGACUGCCUUGGCAGCUUUCAAGGCCUGUGCCUUUGGAUCGGUCUUCUUAGAAACAUCACCUGCACAAAAACAGUGCAUAAGUCACAUGAAAAAAAAAAAAAGUUCUAACUAUUUUUUUGUGCAAAAUAAUAUUUCUAAUUCCAUGCAUUAUUUGAUUAAAAUAUACUGAACCAAAGGCCUAUGUACAAUCAGUAUUAAUCAUAUGAGAGAUUAAGCAAUAAUUCUGUAAGUUAAAUAAAAAGCUUAUUUAAAAACAGCUUAUGAUAUAACAUUAAGGGCCUGUUUGGAUUGGCUUAUUUGAGAUUAUCUACUAGCAUACAUUUUGAGACUGUUUGGGAGAAGUUAUGAAAACAGCUUAUAGAAUAAAUGACAAUUUUCACAAACUGUUUUUUAAGCUUUUUUUCACAAGUUUUUUGAUAUAGCUUAUAAAAACAGUUUAUAGCAUAUAGAAAAACUAUUUAACUAUAAUUUAUCUUUUGCUAUACAAACAGCUAAUGUAAGCUUAUGAAUAAGUGUGUGUACUAUAAGCUGCAAAUAAGUUGCUUAUCCAAACAGGAUGUAAGGGUAUUUCUGGAUUUACAAAUUUGAGCUUAUGGAGACAGCUUUUGACAUGUCCAUGAACUAAUUUCACCUUAAUUUCAUAAGUUGAUAGCUUAUGAAAAACAACUUAUAGCUUAAAUGAAAACAAUUUUGUUGUAUCUUUUGUUAUAAAAAUAGCUUAUAAGCGAUUCUAGUUUCUAGCAUAAGCACUCAACUAAGCUAUUUAUCUGAACAAAACCUAAAUUUUUUCUGCUUAUCAUAACUCAAAACACAGUCCAAAACAGUCGCUUACAAAUUCCCUAGAAUCAAAUCAUACAUGAAAAUGGAAUGACAUACACAAUAAUACAUAUUGAUUAAGUUCAAUCUAAAUUAUACAAAAACAAUCAUUUUCACCUAGAAAAAAUUAAAGGUUGAAACACACACACAUAAACUUAAAUCAGUGUAAAAUAAUGAGAUCAGAAAAUUGAAGUUACCUUUUGGGGCCAUUUGUUGCAGAUGGAAAAGAAACUCUACCUGAUAUAAACCCU
Molecule: long non-coding RNA, 2200 nt
Filed under: Medicago truncatula (barrel medic)
Lineage: Eukaryota; Viridiplantae; Streptophyta; Magnoliopsida; Fabales; Fabaceae
Description: lncRNA gene23292
Source: RNAcentral